CUCCCGGAGCCCCGUCCCCGUAGGCAUAGCCCUAUUUCCCGGUGCCGGAGCCAGGUGGGGCGGUGGGAGCUCUCUGCGCCCCCGCCGGGUUCUAGAGAACGCCUCAUCUCCCUAGCCCACCCCUAGGCAGACCAGCCCCGCCCCUGCCCGAGCCCCGCCUACCAGUUCCCAGCCGAGCUCCUCAAGCCUAGGGACCUACCAACCAAUCUUCGCCCAAGGGACGCCGCCCCGUGCAGACCCGCGCCAGGGCAUCCCACCCCCUCUCCCCAGCACUCGUCACCUCGUGGCCCCAGCCUCCCCACACGGAGGCAGAAACAGGUGUGGAGGAGAGAACCAGGAAGAGAAUGUGGACAAUGAGACUGCGUGUGUACUUCUAAAAACAGAAAAAAAAAAAACUGGAGGACGUGCCAGCUAAAGUGGUUGGAAGUGAUGGGGUUAACCUGGGAGAGCUUCGCGGAGGAGGUGAGGCUUGAACGGAUUAGGCAAGCUGGGCGGCGGGCUGGCUGUUCCGGCGGGGAGAGUGCGGCUUGUGCCAAGGUUUGCGGGCGGCGUGUGCUAAGAGACCGUACAGCGCCGGGAGCGCUGCGGCACGGAAGGACGAAAAGGGUCUGCGCGCGCCCUCGGCGCCGCCUCCACCCACGCCCUGCACGGGGCCCGCGCCAGCCUCUUCUCCACACUCUUCCCGCAAGGCCCAGCCCAUAGUCCACGCGGGGCAAGGGAGCGAGGCCCGUGGCGCAGGGACAGCAGCCCCGGGUGCCCGGGAGGGGGCGCAGACGCCGGCACGUGCCCGC
Molecule: non-coding RNA, 791 nt
Organism: Kogia breviceps (pygmy sperm whale)
Lineage: Eukaryota; Metazoa; Chordata; Mammalia; Artiodactyla; Physeteridae
Source: RefSeq, a predicted model, not a curated record